UUAACGAUUUGUAUUUGUACUUAGACGGCACAGUUACAUGGAGUUUAGAGAAGGCUACCGGCGGACACGGGCCAGAGGUGCUGGACCUCCGGCGGCCUGUGACAGGCGGGCCCGCCAAAGCAACGUGGUAGUUAGACACAGGGUUGGAGAUCGGGCCAAAGACCCUAACUCGAUAAUGAUCCUUCCGCAGGUUCACCUACGGAAA
RNAcentral lists this unclassified non-coding RNA (205 nucleotides) under uncultured fungus. Its description in RNAcentral is "sequence contains ITS1". Lineage: Eukaryota; Fungi. The record is from RNAcentral.